RNAcentral lists this long non-coding RNA (750 nucleotides) under Rattus norvegicus (Norway rat). RNAcentral's name for it is "long non-coding RNA NONRATT015999". Lineage: Eukaryota; Metazoa; Chordata; Mammalia; Rodentia; Muridae. The record is from RNAcentral.
AGAGAUGCAUGCUGCUUCAAAUAAUCAGCUGGGCACAUCAAAAUGUUUAUAACAUCCCACUGUUUUAUUUAAGGGCAUCAAACCCAAACAUCCAAAAUUUCAUGAAGAAAAAGGGCUUUGGCAACAAUUUUAGAAGACUAGAAUCCUUUUAUAUCAAAAAGAUUUUGGAUAUUAUCACAUCCUUAAAGAAGAGCUCCAUUGUUUGGCAAGACGUUUUUGAUGAUCAAGUGGAGACCUGAUCAGCUACGGGCAAGACUGGAGAAACUACUAUAAAGCGGAGCCCCUUAACUUUGAAGGUUCGGAGAAGCAGAAACAACUUGUUAUUGGUGGAGAGGCUUGCCUAUGGGGAGAAUAUGUGGAUGCAACUAACCUUAUUCCAAGACUAUGGCCUCGGGCAAGCGCUGUUGGUGAGAGGCUCUGGAGCCCUAGAAUUAUCACCAACCUGGAAAACGCCUACAGACGACUGGCAGUGCACCGCUGUAGAAUGGUCAGCCGCGGAAUAGCUGCACAACCUCUCUUUACUGGAUAUUGUAACUACGAGAAUAAAAUGGAAAAGUGACAGAAGUCUACAGCACUACAGCUCUAAUCAUGUUGAUUCUGAAAUCAUGUAAAUUAAUAUUUGUUAGGCUAUUUUUUAAAUAAACUAUCUUUUUAUUGAUUGAAUCUUUCUAUAUCUGAAUCAAACACUGAAUACUGACAUCUUUUAUGUGAGCAGCUUAAAAAAAAUAAAAGAAAAAGCUUUGCACUACU